UUGUAUCACUGUGCCACAUGUUUGGAGGAGGAACCAGACUUGAAGUUAACAUGGGUCAAGUGCCUCCAUCACUAAUGGUUGUACCCCCCUCCAGUGAGGAGCUGAAGCAAGGGAAGGUUAUCCUCAUGUGUCUGGCCAACAAGGGCUUCCCCUCAGACUGGACUCUGUCCUGGAAGCUGGACAGCAGCAGCAGCAGCAGCUUGGAGCAGAGCAGGAGCCCCGGGGUGCUGCAGAAUGACGGCCUCUACAGCUGGAGCAGCACCCUGAGGCUCCCUGCAGACCAGUGGAGGAAGGUGGGCUCUGUGACCUGUGAGGCCUCCCAGGGCUCCCAGACUGCAGUCACAGAGACACUGAGGAGAGACCAGUGUUCCCAGUACUGAGCUGAUAUGCCAGAAGAUGGGAACUAUUGCUUUUUCAAUGCUUUCUGUUCUUUCUAUCUUCAAAAGCUUCUUUUCAUUCGAAGCCUUCUUGCUUAUUGUUGCAAUCCCGGUUGAUUUAAUAUCUUAAAGCAAUAAAACUGAUCAACGCA
Molecule: non-coding RNA, 529 nt
Organism: Xiphophorus hellerii (green swordtail)
Lineage: Eukaryota; Metazoa; Chordata; Actinopteri; Cyprinodontiformes; Poeciliidae
Source: the annotation of a RefSeq genome assembly